This 362-nucleotide long non-coding RNA is filed under the name Bos taurus (domestic cattle). RNAcentral's name for it is "long non-coding RNA NONBTAT016825". Lineage: Eukaryota; Metazoa; Chordata; Mammalia; Artiodactyla; Bovidae. The record is from RNAcentral.
GUGGAGCCUAAACUUUUAAAGGGCAAUUAAACAUCUUAAAGAGGAAGUCUCCCCAGGUGUUACUGGUUAUGAAUUGUCUUUCUUGGCCAGUAAAUUAAGCUAUGCUCUGUUGAAGAGGUUGGCCAACAUGGGCCUGUUGCCUGCCAUAAGCUAAAAGUAUUUUGUUUUAAAAAGGCAUAGAAGACCAUGCAAGAGACCUUUGUAGCCUUCAGAAUUCUCUUAAGUUUGCUAACCCUUCUUGUACUAGAAAAGUGCAGGGUUCCAGAAUACUAAGUUUGGUUAGCUAGAUAUUAAUAUUUCACACCUUAAUUGGCAAGAAGGUAAUAAGAAAGGUUUCAAAUAAGCAUGUUGUGUUAUUUUCU